AGGUCAUUGCCCUAGUACGGCGAGUGAGCGGCAACAGCUCAAAUUUGAAAUCUGGCGUCUUUGGCGUCCGAGUUGUAAUUUGCAGAGGGCGCUUUGGCAUUGGCAGCGGUCCAAGUUCCUUGGAACAGGACGUCACAGAGGGUGAGAAUCCCGUACGUGGUCGCUAGCCUUUACCGUGUAAAGCCCCUUCGACGAGUCGAGUUGUUUGGGAAUGCAGCUCUAAAUGGGAGGUAAAUUUCUUCUAAAGCUAAAUACUGGCCAGAGACCGAUAGCGCACAAGUAGAGUGAUCGAAAGAUGAAAAGCACUUUGGAAAGAGAGUUAAAAAGCACGUGAAAUUGUUGAAAGGGAAGCGCUUGCAGCCAGACUUGCCUGUAGUUGCUCAUCCGGGUUUCUACCCGGUGCACUCUUCUAUAGGCAGGCCAGCAUCGGGGUGGGCGGUUGGAUAAAGGUCUCUGUCAUGUACCUCCUUUCGGGGAGAACUUAUAGGGGAGACGACAUGCAACCAGCCCGGACUGAGGUCCGCGCAUCUGCUAGGAUGCUGGCGUAAUGGCUGUAACGGGCCCGUCUUGAAACACGGGACCAAGGAGUCUAACAUCUAUGCGAGUGUUUGGGUGUCAAGCCCGAGCGCGUAAUGAAAGUGAACGGAGGGUGGGAACCUUUCG
This 663-nucleotide ribosomal RNA is filed under the name Leptosphaerulina trifolii. RNAcentral's name for it is "LSU rRNA". It matches the Rfam family "Eukaryotic large subunit ribosomal RNA", at positions 69 to 749 of the family's 3401-position model. The record is from RNAcentral. Lineage: Eukaryota; Fungi; Ascomycota; Dothideomycetes; Pleosporales; Didymellaceae.